Molecule: long non-coding RNA, 2744 nt
Filed under: Daphnia pulex (common water flea)
Lineage: Eukaryota; Metazoa; Arthropoda; Branchiopoda; Diplostraca; Daphniidae
Description: uncharacterized LOC124207906
Source: RNAcentral
ACCUUAUCUCCGAAAUCGGACUAUGGCUAGAUCAAGGUCGUGUACUCAAAACUGAUGAUGACGCAAUGCCACAUGAAACUGUUCAAGCUACAGCUUGGUAGAGAACAUUGAUAAACAUUCUAUCAACAUUUUUACCGGAUCGGAAUGGUGUCAGACUGCAGACUUUACCCCCAACGUGAUACCAAAGAAAAUGAACCAGAUUGCAUGUAACCUAAAUUUGAAAACCAAUCAAUGAGGAUGAAUAAUAUCACUUUUUCACACUUUACAGGACGGACUAGAAAUGGUUAUAGGGAUUAUGCAUUGAUAAUUACUGUGCCUCAAAAUUGUCUACAAGUUGUGAUUGAAAUUGUUGGUUAUAAUAUGAAAAGAGAAACGUUGGAUGUGGGAGCUGCAACAAGAGAGGUAUGAAAUAUGAGGUGGCCAGUUAGAUUGCUUGUGUCAACUGAUACUACUAUUCUUAAGCAGAUCAUAUUGAAUUGCUUGCUGAGACAAAUCAUUGAAAUCUUUUUGUAAGUUCAUCUGGAUGAAAUCGAAUGUGAAGAUCUUUACUUAUUUAUGGUAUAAAACCAGCAUUCAGGAAUUGUUUUUGCAUUGGAGCUGGCUAAGUCAGAAAGAUGACGGAAUCGCGAGGUGAGGCAUUGUCAUCUGGACUGGACUUUUCAUCUCUUAUUCCACCAUUCUGGGGCAUCUGACGUAGACGCAUAGCUUGAAAAUAACCAAGUUCCGGCCUUCGGUCACGACCCUCAACCAUAUCCUUCACCUGAUCAGUGAAAUUCACCUGUGAUGAGUGAACGACAAGACCAUUCUUAUCGGUUAUGAUGUCACGAGUGUUGAGAAUGUCGUCGACAGAUAUUCCCCGGCUGGCGUCAUCUAUUAGGAUCGUCCUGUAGCCAUGGUCUAGAGAAUCCCUAGCUGUCGCGCCUUAAAAAUGUUUUCCCGAGUCAGCAAUUGCAGAUAUCCAUUUCAAAGAAUUAUUUGCUUACCGACGCAAACAUCGUAGGCGAGUCCGCAAACGUACAGAAAGCUGAAUAGGAAUCGAUAUCCGGAUGAACUCCUUUGUGGACUAGUAUCCCAUUUUCCAGUAUCUACAGGGUGAUAAAUUGAAAACAAAAAAGGACUUACGGGCUUGAUCCAAUGCUUCCAGCAGAAGGCAAACUCUUGGAAAUCCACAUAACCGUCCUGGAACAGACGUCAAACAUUUCCUGGAGCCGACUUUCCUCGAUGGCGUAAGCUUUGCCCUGCUCAUUGCGGAAGAGAGUACGACACAGGGCGGCAAAGUCGGACAACGUCAUUAACCCGUCACUGUGUUGGUGACGUCAUUGGCCGAGCGGGGGGGAAUUGACCUUCGCAAAUGACCGGAUCCAGUGAAAACGACCACCCCGUGGAAAGGGCCAAUUCACAGCUUGUAAAUUGUGACGGUUUAGGCAAAAAUUGGGAGGCUUGUUGUUGGCACCGAUCGGUCGAUAUUUGAAAGGACUGGACGCGCAUGGAAAGGUGUCAAGAAGAGUGUCGUCGUUGGUGUCGUCGACGGCUGGAUGUUGUUGAUCCUGAUCCAGCAAUUGAGCCAACUGUCCUUCGUCUGAGGCGAUCAGGUCACUGCUGCUGCUACUGCACGGUUCGGCCAUUCGAGCGGAAUAGAGGCAGCCAAGGCAAGGCUAAAACCUUUUUGCCACGACUUGAGUAAAUAGCUUCGGGUUGCUUUGGUAACCGUGGCACACGGGACAGUGCGGUCUUGUACGUACUAGCACACAGACGGGUUGUAGAUAUAUUAUUAUAGGCUGUGCGCGCCAGAACUUGUCCCAUUUCUCUCCCGACUUCCUUGUUCUCCUUCCCGUGACAAGCCCGUGUACACACAAAAGUUGAUCCCCUCAUAAAAUUAUCGAGAUUAUACAGCCAUAAUUGAAUCAAAUGUUGCAAUCGCGAUAAAAUAGCUCAAACUUCACGAAUCAACUGGGAAAUCGAGUUGGGCGGGGACGCUUAGCAUAUCCUCGGUAGAUCUAUUCAUUUCUUUUGGGUUUUUAAAAUGGACUUGGAAAUAUUAACGUAACUAACAUUUCUAUCCAUCCAUCCGGAUGGUAUACUUUAUUGUGAUUGAAUUGCCCCAAGCACGAUUCUCCCCUUUACAUUCUAUGCCCAGUUUGACAACACGAACGCUGUCACGACUCGCCAGAUGGCAAUCAACGGGAUUCGAGAAAGAAGACUAAUGCUAACGUAUAUACACACACACACACCCCACCUAUUUGUUUUGUUAGACUUAGAUUCCCACCCUUUCGACGGCCUGAAUUAUAUAUGAGCGCCUCACGGGGGUCAUAGAAAAGGGUAACACAACAACAAAACAGUACUACUAACCCCGAACUUUGUCGUCACGUCCUGUACAACUGCUGACUGGCUCCCACAAAAUCGAUUGCAUCAUCAUCGUAAUUAUCUUAUGCUUUUGAAAAUGUGUGACGACGAUAUGCAGAGACUUGAUACGAUGAGUUUCUUACGUGAUAUUUGGCUUAAAGUAAUGAGUUUGCGGAUAGAUUUCGCGGCAUAGUAUAGUCUCGCUUUUUUAUUUUUAUUUUACCUGAUGUCAGUUUUAACAGUUGCUCCUCUGUCGUUUCUCACAGCGUGGUGUUAAACAAGAAGAAAGAUUUUCACGGCUGGCGGCGCGACUCUACAGCACUACACUAUUACUUUUGUAACCGAGUUGUGUUUUUUUUUUAAAGAACUUGCACAGAACGGACGAAUCAAUACACGCCAAA